RNAcentral lists this ribosomal RNA (251 nucleotides) under Plethodontohyla inguinalis (Boulenger's digging frog). Its description in RNAcentral is "partial 16S ribosomal RNA". Lineage: Eukaryota; Metazoa; Chordata; Amphibia; Anura; Microhylidae. The record is from RNAcentral.
AUGGAGCUUUAAACUUGUACCACUGCCCCAAACUACAUCAAUCAACCGGGCAAACAAUGGCUACUAGUCUUUCGGCUGGGGCGACCACGGAGAAAAACUAAACCUCCACGAUGAAAGGAACACCCUAAUUAAAGAGCUACAGCUCUAAAAAUCAACAAAUUGACAUAAUUGACCCAAACACUUUGAUCAACGAACCAAGUUACCCUGGGGAUAACAGCGCAAUCCAUUUCAAGAGACCCCAUCGACAAAUG